UGCAGUCAAGCCUACACCAAUAUUGCAGUCAAGUUAUACUGCAAUUACUAGCAGUCGUCCCUCUUCAGGUAACAAAUUGUAUUUCUUUUUAACCUUCAUCUGCUGGUGGAUGAUUGGCAAUGUAUUGUGUUUUAAGAUAUACUCCCCGUGAAUUAUAAGUGUACCUCUGCAAUAGUAUUUUUUUCCCGUGAGAACAAAGAUCAAUCUGUACACUCAACAAAACUUAACUUUCUCCAUGCCCAUUCUGUUUUCAGAUUUUGCAGAGGGGGGAAAAGAGCACGUUGAAAGGAGAAUGCCAAGGAAAUAGGUAAAAUAAAAUUUCAUCCAAGAUUUAUUAAUGGAUGGGUUGUCCGAUAUACUAGAGAUGGUGAGUCUGAUUUGCCUAAGAAGUUGUCUGGCAGUGUUGUGAUAUCUCUCUAAUGUCCAUUCAAGUACUUGAUGAAUAGGUGUUGCACCAUAUUUGAGGGUAAGAUUGCCUAUAUCCAUGACUAAGCUUUCUUCAUUUUAGUACUAUUGAACCAUAUAUUUAUUUGGCUUAGUUUGUCUUUGCAAAUUUUGAUCGAACUACUAUUUAGCUACUCCACUGAUUUUAAAUUAUCUUGAAGUAAAAAAUGUAAGGUAGGCCAGUCUUUUGUUUGCCGAAAUUAUUCCUUUUACUAAGUAAUCAAGUUGGGUUUGCUACUGUUGUUUGUAACAUUCAACUAGCCUCAUCGUUAUGGAAGAGGGGUUAGUGGAUUAAGGACAGACGUGGUUGGGGCUUUAUUAAUUUAAAGACAAGCAGAACUUGUGCUUUCAUUCUAACUUUAUUGCCACAUUAAUGCAAUUUGAUCUCAGAUAUCCCUUGUGUUGCAGAUAUCUGAUGAUUUUUUAUCUAGCGGCUCUGUUUAUCUUCACUUGAGAUAACAUAAGGAUGUAAUUGGCCCAGUAUACAACCAAGGGUGGUUAGAUAUUUCUGAUUCAUUAGCAAAGUCCUAAAUGGACAAGGAUAUUGCAACAUUUUCUUUGUUCGAAUGUAUUAGUUAUGGUCACACUGAACAAAAGAGAGACCGAUACAUGUUCAAUGCAAUGCUUAUAAGAAAGGGACAUCAUAC
This 1091-nucleotide long non-coding RNA is filed under the name Triticum aestivum (bread wheat). RNAcentral's name for it is "long non-coding RNA (TAES_LNC000652)". Lineage: Eukaryota; Viridiplantae; Streptophyta; Magnoliopsida; Poales; Poaceae. The record is from RNAcentral.